Molecule: microRNA, 24 nt
Filed under: Panagrellus redivivus
Lineage: Eukaryota; Metazoa; Nematoda; Chromadorea; Rhabditida; Panagrolaimidae
Description: prd-miR-7884-3p
Source: miRBase by way of RNAcentral
AAUGGCGUCUCAAGGACCUUGCGA